Molecule: ribosomal RNA, 522 nt
Filed under: Salmonella enterica subsp. enterica serovar Infantis
Lineage: Bacteria; Pseudomonadati; Pseudomonadota; Gammaproteobacteria; Enterobacterales; Enterobacteriaceae
Also listed under: 3 other names
Description: partial 23S ribosomal RNA
Rfam family: Bacterial large subunit ribosomal RNA
Source: RNAcentral
AGACCCGAAACCCGGUGAUCUAGCCAUGGGCAGGUUGAAGGUUGGGUAACACUAACUGGAGGACCGAACCGACUAAUGUUGAAAAAUUAGCGGAUGACCUGUGGCUGGGGGUGAAAGGCCAAUCAAACCGGGAGAUAGCUGGUUCUCCCCGAAAGCUAUUUAGGUAGCGCCUCGUGAAUUCAUCUCCGGGGGUAGAGCACUGUUUCGGCUAGGGGGCCAUCCCGGCUUACCAACCCGAUGCAAACUGCGAAUACCGGAGAAUGUUAUCACGGGAGACACACGGCGGGUGCUAACGUCCGUCGUGAAGAGGGAAACAACCCAGACCGCCAGCUAAGGUCCCAAAGUCAUGGUUAAGUGGGAAACGAUGUGGGAAGGCCCAGACAGCCAGGAUGUUGGCUUAGAAGCAGCCAUCAUUUAAAGAAAGCGUAAUAGCUCACUGGUCGAGUCGGCCUGCGCGGAAGAUGUAACGGGGCUAAACCAUGCACCGAAGCUGCGGCAGCGAACGUAUCACUUAAAGCGAUU